Molecule: ribosomal RNA, 253 nt
Filed under: uncultured bacterium
Lineage: Bacteria
Description: partial 16S ribosomal RNA
Rfam family: Bacterial small subunit ribosomal RNA
Source: RNAcentral
UACGUAGGGUGCAAGCGUUGUCCGGAAUUAUUGGGCGUAAAGAGCUCGUAGGCGGUUCGUCGCGUCGGCUGUGAAAUCCCGAGGCUCAACCUCGGGUCUGCAGUCGAUACGGGCGGACUGGAGUACUGCAGGGGAGACUGGAAUUCCUGGUGUAGCGGUGAAAUGCGCAGAUAUCAGAAGGAACACCGGUGGCGAAGGCGGGUCUCUGGGCAGUUACUGACGCUGAGGAGCGAAAGCGUGGGGAGCGAACAGG